Molecule: ribosomal RNA, 418 nt
Filed under: Calumma hilleniusi
Lineage: Eukaryota; Metazoa; Chordata; Lepidosauria; Squamata; Chamaeleonidae
Description: partial 12S ribosomal RNA
Rfam family: Bacterial small subunit ribosomal RNA
Source: RNAcentral
AAUGGAUUAGAUACCCCACUAUGCCCAGCCGUAAACACUGAUACCACUUUUAUCCGCCAGAGAACAACGAGCUAAAGCUUACAACCCAAAGGACUUGGCGGCGCUCCAUAGCGCCCUAGAGGGGCCUGUCACAUAAUCGAUAGCCCACGAUAGACCUCACCUCUUUUAGCCCCCUCAGCCUAUAUACCGCCGUCGCCAGUCCAUCUUGAAAAGGAAAUAAAAUGGACCCAACAGUCCCCACACUAACACGACAGGUCAAGGUGUAGCUUAUAAAGCGGCAAAUGAUGGACCACAUUGCUUACUAAGCCAAACCAAAAUUGCACUGAAACACACACUUUAAGGUGAAUUUAACAGUAAGGCAGACAAGAAAGUCUACCUAAAGACAGCUCUGGAGCGUGCACACACCGCCCGUCACCCU